This is a long non-coding RNA of Corvus hawaiiensis (hawaiian crow), 460 nucleotides long. RefSeq lists it as uncharacterized. NCBI's taxonomy places the organism in Eukaryota, Metazoa, Chordata, Aves, Passeriformes, Corvidae. The transcript is spliced from 4 exons. The record is from RefSeq and is a predicted model, not a curated record.
UAUUUUUUUGAGGAAAGACAAACAGAAAAAAAUCAACCAGAACACUACACCACCACCCACAAAUUAGGCAAAGAGGCUUUAAAAAAAAACCUGCCAAGAGUAACCAGCUGACCACCUGAUCCUGCUUUACAGAGGAAAACUUACUCCUCAGAACAAUUCCUUUUCCAGGAAGUCCUUGAGCGGUGAUCGCACAAUGUCCUCUCUGCAAGUACUCUUUCUGAGUGUCUGUGUGGUGAUGCUGGACUCUGCUGGCUCCUUUCACCUUGGGUUGAGAAGACGGGUCACCCAAAGCAGCUGUUCCUGGCAAUCCUUGUUGUCUUCCUGAAAGAGACAGCAAGAAAGGUGUGGCUCUAAGAAUUGCCCAGUGCCACCUGGCUGGAAAAGAGAGGGAAAGAGGAAGCCAGAACAUCAGUAACAUGAUCUUGCUGAAGAACCAGAAGUAAUAAGGAGCCACUGGUUU